UUAGGUUUAGAAAAAACAUCAUGAUUGGGCUUAAAUAAGUACGUAAAACAAGUAAAAUACGUAUGUAAGCAGCAUAACAUAAGUACCGAAAACAUGUCACAAACGUCACUAUUAAACAUACCUUCAAAAUAAUUAAA
This is a long non-coding RNA of Sebastes umbrosus (honeycomb rockfish), 137 nucleotides long. RefSeq lists it as uncharacterized. The record is from RefSeq and is a predicted model, not a curated record. Lineage: Eukaryota; Metazoa; Chordata; Actinopteri; Perciformes; Sebastidae. The transcript is spliced from 3 exons.